UACGGAAGGGGCUAGCGUUGUUCGGAAUCACUGGGCGUAAAGCGCGCGUAGGCGGCUUGGCAAGUGAGGCGUGAAAGUCCUGGGCUCAACCCGGGGACGGCGCUUCAGACUGCGGGGCUAGAGUCCGGAAGAGGGUGGUGGAAUUCCGAGUGUAGAGGUGAAAUUCGUAGAUAUUCGGAGGAACACCGGCGGCGAAGGCGACCCCCUGGUUGGAUACUGACGCUGAUACGCGAAAGCGUGGGGAGCAAACAGG
RNAcentral lists this ribosomal RNA (253 nucleotides) under uncultured bacterium. RNAcentral's name for it is "partial 16S ribosomal RNA". It matches the Rfam family "Bacterial small subunit ribosomal RNA", at positions 524 to 776 of the family's 1533-position model. The record is from RNAcentral.